UACGUAGGUGGCAAGCGUUGUCCGGAAUUACUGGGCGUAAAGCGUGCGCAGGCGGUUAUGCAAGACAGAUGUGAAAUCCCCGGGCUCAACCUGGGAACUGCAUUUGUGACUGCAUGGCUAGAGUGCGGCAGAGGGGGAUGGAAUUCCGCGUGUAGCAGUGAAAUGCGUAGAUAUGCGGAGGAACACCGAUGGCGAAGGCAAUCCCCUGGGCCUGCACUGACGCUCAUGCACGAAAGCGUGGGGAGCAAACAGG
This 253-nucleotide ribosomal RNA is filed under the name uncultured bacterium. RNAcentral's name for it is "partial 16S ribosomal RNA". It matches the Rfam family "Bacterial small subunit ribosomal RNA", at positions 524 to 776 of the family's 1533-position model. The record is from RNAcentral.